Molecule: non-coding RNA, 2946 nt
Organism: Doryrhamphus excisus (bluestripe pipefish)
Lineage: Eukaryota; Metazoa; Chordata; Actinopteri; Syngnathiformes; Syngnathidae
Source: RefSeq, a predicted model, not a curated record
UGGUAGCACUUCCGCUCUUUGCCACACAACCUGGUUGGCAUUAAUAAGGGUUGCAGAAGUGGAGAGAAAAUAACUUUAUUUUCAUUCUUUUAUCCUUCAGAUUUUUUUUCCCCAAGGAGAAGAAAAUCAAUGGCAAGGUCUUCCCGAAGUCCAUUUCAUUUCCCAUUUCUGGAAUACUCAACCCAGGAGCUCAGGUUUCCAAACAAAUUAGAAGGGUCCAAGGUCAUGGAGAGGGGGAUGUGGCUGUCGAGGUGUUUCUCUGGCUGGGAUGAACGGAUGAGACGGGACGGGCUGCUCUGGCAUGAUGGGAUCCCGGGAUGAUUGGGGCGACUCGGGGUACUCGGGCCAUUGUGGUAUCUGUGGAGUCUGUGGGUACACGGGAUAUUGAGCCCCGCCAGGCCUUUGCACUGAUGGCUGGGAGGACGGCGGCUGAGGAUACGUCGGGUUCCGCUCUUCCCAAGACAAUCCCGUACUCUGAAGAUCAUCGUCCUCCAGUUGUCGGAGAGAGAUCUGCACAUCAGAGCGGGAGUAGGUGUAUCCGUGACCAGCCGGGCAGAUCUCCUUAAAAUGAUCUGUGGGGUUACAAAAGUGUAAAUACUAAUAUUAGUAUUAGUACCGGAGUUCAAUCCCACCCUCGGCUAUCUCUGUGUGGAGUUUGCAUGUUCUCCCCCGUCCGGGUACUCCGGUUUCCUCCCACAUUCCAAAAAAACAUGCUAGGUUAAUUAGCGACUUCAUAUUGUCCAUAGGUAUGAAUGUGAGUGUGAAUGGUUGUUUGUCUAUAUGUGCCCUGUGAUUGGCUGGCCACCAGUCCAGGGUGUACCCCGCCUCUCGCCCCGAAGACAGCUAGGAUAGGCUCCAGCACCCCCGCAACCCUUGUGAGGAUAAGCGGUAGAAAAUGAAUGAAUGAAUGUUGCAAAAUAACUAAACGGACCAAAGACAGCUGGGAUAGGCUCCAGCACCCCCGCAAACCCUUGUGAAAAUGAAUGAAUGAAUGAAUGUUGCAAAAUGACGAAAUGGACCGAAAACAGCUGGGAUAGGCUCCAGCACCCCCGCGACCCUCGUGGAAAUGAAUGAAUUAAUGAAUGUUGCAAAAUAACUAAAUGGACCGAAGACAGCUGGGAUAGGCUCCAACACCCCCGCGACUCUUGUGAGGAAAAGCGGUAGAAAAUGAAUGAAUGAAUGAAUGAAUGUUGAAAAAUAACUAAAUGGACCAAAGACAGCUGGGAUAGGCUCCAGCACCCCCGCGUCUCUCGUGAAAAUGAAUGAAUGAAUGAAUGAAUAAAUGUUACAAAAUAACUAAAUGGACCGAAGACAGCUGGAAUAGGCUCCAGCACCCCCGCGACCCUCGUGAGGAUGAGCAGAAUGAAUGAAUGAAUGAAUGAAUGUUGCAAAAUAACGAAAUAGACCAAAGACAGCUGGGAUAGGCUCCAGCACCCUUGUGACCCUCGUGAAAAUGAAUGAAUUCAUGAAUGAAUUCAUGAAUGUUGCAAAAUAACUAAAUGGACCGAAGACAGCUGGGAUAGGCUCCAGCACCCCCGCAACCCUCGUGAAAAUGAAUGAAUGAAUGAUUGUUGCAAAAUAACAAAAUGGACCAAAGACAGCUGGGAUAGGCUCCAGCACCCCCACGAAAAUGAAUGAAUGAAUGUUGCAAAAUAACUAAAUGGACGGGAGACAGCUGGGAUAGGCUCCAGCACCCCCGCAAAAAUGAAUGAAUGAAUGAAUGUUGCAAAAUAACUGAAUGGACCAACGACAGUUGGGAUAGGCUCCAGCACCCCCGCGACCCUUGUGAAAAUGAAUGAAUGAACGAAUGAAUGAAUGUUGAAAAAUAACUAAAUGGACCGAAGACAGCUGGGAUAGGCUCCAGCACCCCCGCUACCCUCGUGAGGAUAAGUGGUAGAAAAUGAAUGAAUGAAUGAAUGAAUGACACAACAGGAUUAUUAUUAUUAUUUUGUGAAAUGUACCGUUUGUAUCUGUUUGAAUUGACGGUUCUCACGGCGUCAAGGCUGUCAAGUUCGUCAAGUUCAGUAAGAAUCUGCAUACCCAAACAGCUCGAGAACUCUCGUUACUAAUUACUAGCCAGACAGACAGAGCGAGACCGGGAUACCUCAGAGAUGGUGAAUCCAUUACAGGCCAGAAGAACAGUGUCCUCUAUUUGACCUGACAGCGGCAGCUCGAUGCCAGAAGGAUCUGGAAUAACGAUGUGCGUAACGACAGCUAAAUACGAUGGCGGUUAAGGGCAGGAGACGCGCUUGUUACGAGAUACCAAUUGGUGAAAAUGAGGCUAGUUUUAUGAUCCGCGGCCAUAUUACAGGAGCUGGAGUGCAAAUGGAAUAAAAGUCUGUAGUCUUCAGAACACGACUCAGAUGGCCAGAGGCUAUGUCUCCAUGUCCGAUUCAGCACCGUGGAGGUCUACAUAUGAUAUCUGAUCUGUGACGAUUAUUACGAUAUAAAUCACCGACCAGUCCAUAAAGUCAUCAUUUUCUCUUUGAAACGUUUGAACAUCAAAAUUUUCCCGAUGUUUUUUUUGGCAAAGCGAUUUAUUUCUGAUUAUUAUUGAGGUUUCUUUCAGUGGACAUGAGCGAUAACUCAACGUUUAUUGUUUUUAGGUCUUUUGCCAAUUCAAACACAUUUUCAUCUUAUUUUGAAAUCAUUUGCACACCUGGUAGACGACAAGGUGCUGAUUGACCGACUUGAUUGAAUCGUUUUUUUUUCUUUCACAAACACUGCAUGACUGCAUGUUCUAUGUUCUAUGUCAGGGGUGGGCAAACUACGGCCCGGGGGCCACAUUCGGCCCGCCAAGUGUCUGAAUACGGCCCGCCCAAUCUUUCAAAAGUAUUUAAUUUAACAUACAACCUGGCAUCAUGGCCUGAGCCUUUUGAUGGUUGUAUCAAUUUCGUUGUUUGACAUGGUCUGUUGUUUACAAAGUGCUCCUGAAAAAAGAGACAC